RNAcentral lists this ribosomal RNA (434 nucleotides) under uncultured bacterium. RNAcentral describes it as "partial 16S ribosomal RNA". It matches the Rfam family "Bacterial small subunit ribosomal RNA", at positions 29 to 507 of the family's 1533-position model. The record is from RNAcentral.
AGCGAACGCUGGCGGCAGGCCUAACACAUGCAAGUCGAACGAACCUUUCGGGGUUAGUGGCGGACGGGUGAGUAACACGUGGGAACGUGCCUUUAGGUUCGGAAUAACUCAGGGAAACUUGUGCUAAUACCGAAUGUGCCCUUCGGGGGAAAGAUUUAUCGCCUUUAGAGCGGCCCGCGUCUGAUUAGCUAGUUGGUUGAGGUAAUGGCUCACCAAGGCGACGAUCAGUAGCUGGUCUGAGAGGAUGAUCAGCCACAUGGGGACUGGGACACGGCCCAAACUCCUACGGGAGGCAGCAGUGGGGAAUCUUGCGCAGUGGGCGAAGGCCUGACGCAGCCAGGCCGGGUGAAUGAUGAAGGUCUUAGGAUUGUAAAAUUCUUUCACCGGUGAAGAUAAUGACGGUACCCGGUGAAGAAGCCCCGGCUAACUUCGUG